GACGAACGCUGGCGGCGUGCUUAACACAUGCAAGUCGAACGGAAAGGCCUGCUUUCCCUUGUGGAUUGCGGGUACUCGAGUGGCGAACGGGUGAGUAACACGUGAGUGAUCUGCCCCCAACUUGGGUAUAAGCCUGGGAAACUGGGUCUAAUUCCCGAUAGGACUGCAGGGUGGUGCCUGUGGUGGAAAACGAUUUUCUAGUGGUUGGGGAUGAGCUCGCGGCCUAUCAGCUUGUUGGUGGGGUAAUGGCCUACCAAGGCGGCGACGGGUAGCCGGGCUGGGAGGGUGGACGGCCACAGUGGGACUGGGAUACGGCCCAGACUCCGACGGGAGGCAGCAGUGGGGAAUAUUGCACAAUGGGCGGAAGCCUGAUGCAGCGACGCCGCGUGGGGGAUGACGGCCUUCGGGUUGUAAACUCCUUUCGAGCGCGAGGAAGCCACCUGGUUGGAAGGGUGGUGACGGUAGUGGUAGAAGAAGCACCGGCUAACUACGUG
RNAcentral lists this ribosomal RNA (494 nucleotides) under uncultured bacterium. RNAcentral's name for it is "partial 16S ribosomal RNA". It matches the Rfam family "Bacterial small subunit ribosomal RNA", at positions 28 to 507 of the family's 1533-position model. The record is from RNAcentral.